GUCUCUGUAGCGCAAUGGGUAGCGUUUUGAACUUUUAAUCCAAAGGACGUGGGUUCGAGUCUCAUCUGGGAUG
Trichonephila clavata is the source of this 73-nucleotide non-coding RNA. The record is from the annotation of a GenBank genome assembly. NCBI's taxonomy places the organism in Eukaryota, Metazoa, Arthropoda, Arachnida, Araneae, Nephilidae.